AGGUUGAUCCUGGCUCAAGAUGAACAACUGGUUGCGUGCUUAACACAUGUAAGUCAAACGGAAAGGCCUCAGCUUGCUGGGGUACUCUAGUGGCCAGACGGGUGAGUAACACAUGGGUGAUCUGCCCUUGCUCUUUGCGGAUAAGCUUGGGAAACUGGGUCUAAUUCCGACUAUGACCACUUGUAUGACGUUGUGCAGGAAGAUUAGGAGCUGUGGGAUGAGCGUGCGGCUUAUCUGCUUGUUGAUGGGGUAAUAGCCUACCAAGCCGCCGAUGGGUAUCCGGCAUCAGAGGGUGUACGUACACAUUCCGCAUGAGAUACGACCCAGACUCCUACGUGAGGCAGCAGUCGGCAAUAUUGCACAAUGCGCGCAAGCCUGAUGCAGCGACCCCGAGUGGGGGAUGAAGGCAUUCGGGUUGUAAACUCCUUUCGCUAUUGUCGAAGUUUUCGGGUGACGGUAGGUAGAUAAGACGCACCGCGCUAUCUACGUGCCACCACCCGCGGUAUUAUGUAGGGUGCAAGCGUGGUCUCGAAUUUCUGGGCGUAAAGAGCUCGUAGGUGGUUUGUCGCAUCGUCUAUGAAAUCCCGGGGCUUUACUUCUGGCGUGCAGAUGAUACGGGCAUAAUUUGAGUGCUGUAGGGGAGACUGGAAUUUCUGGUGUAGCGGUGAAAUGCGCAGAUAUCUGGAGGAACCCCGAUGGGGAAGGCAGGUCUCUGGGCAGUAACUGACGCUGAGGACCGAAAGCAUGGGUAGCCAACCAGGUUAGAUUCCCUGGUAGUUCAUUCCGUAAACGGUUGUUUAUAGGUGUAGGGGGUUUGCACGUCUUCUGUGCAGUAGUCAAGGCAUUAAGCGCCCCGCUUGGGGAGUACGGCCGCAAGGCUAAAAAUCAAAGGAAUCGACGGGGGCCGGCACAAGCGUGCGGAGCAUGUGGAUUAAUUAGGUGCACAGUGAAGAACCUUUCAUGGGCCUGACAGGCACCGGAUCGGGCUAGAGAUAGUCUUUCCCUAGUGGUCGGUAUACAGGCGGUGCAUGGUAGUCGUCAGCUCGUGUCAGUGAGAUAUGGGGCUAAGUCCCGCAACGAGCGCAACCCUUGUCGUAGGUUGCCAGCACGUUAUGGUGGGAACUCAUGAGAGACGGCCGGGGUUAAUUCGGAGGAAGGUGGGGAUGAUGUCAAAUCAUCAUGCCCAUUUAUGUGCGAGGGCUUCACACAAGCUGCAAUGGUCGAUACAAUGGGCAGUGACAUAGUGAGGUGAAGCGAAUCCCAGAAAGUCGGCCUUAGUUAGGAUGCGGGUUCGCAACUCGACCCCAAGAAGUCGGAGUCGAUAGUAAUCGCAGAUCAGCAACGAGGCGGUGAACAAGUUCCCGGCCCUAGUACACACCGCCCGUCA
RNAcentral lists this ribosomal RNA (1387 nucleotides) under uncultured bacterium. RNAcentral's name for it is "partial 16S ribosomal RNA". It matches the Rfam family "Bacterial small subunit ribosomal RNA". The record is from RNAcentral.